CCCAGGUGUUCUUUCAUUUCCUAGAGUUUCGCCAGUCUUGUUCGCGCUUUUUUGCUUAAAGUUACUCAGAGGACCGGUCCUCUUGCUCCCUCAUCAACCACUCGCGCUUCCUUUCCUCCUUCAAGCUUCGCUUCCCUCACUCUAUUUCCUGCAUUUUAGUUUACCUUUGUAUUUUCCGCAUUUUUUGCCUACAUAUAGACCGCUGGUAUUUUCGUCUUUCCUUAAGCAAAGUUCCUGCACCCUAACUCCCCGUAUCUCGCACAUGCCUCCUAAUUUUUUCGCAGCGUGCUCUCCUUCCACCCUCUUACCGCUCUCAACUACUCUUUGCUCUUUCUCCUUGGAACUCUUCUUUCCUUGGAGAACUCGUAUUCCACCAUCCCCUGGCACGGUACCCCCUGAAUUGGAUUUUUCCCGUGUCGCUCGCUUCUUAUUGCAAUCGCCGGAACUCCACUUACGGGUGUCAGCGGUCGCGUGGAUUCUCCUCCGAUCUCACCUCACGACAGCGGCAACCUUGUUCGCGUCUUUUUUCACAGGGGGGCGGAUUUUUGCGACUCGCAAGAGUGGAUUUCUUCCCCGAGCUCUCUCUGAUCCGUAUUCGUGCUCGCAUUCACCUUCUAUGCAUCAAAGUGUCGUUCCCGUCGUCCAUUUCUUCUAUCGUGACGAUGUCUCGGCUUAUUUCCGCGUGUAUUUAUCUCUCCCUCCCUCUCUCUUUCUCUCAACCCUCUGCUUGUUCUCCUCGUAUUUCACGACUGCUCUCCUUAUGCGUUUUCUCGCUUGAUAUCAGUUUGUAUAUUGCACAUUUCUGUAUGGUUAGACGGCGUAUCCCUCAGGUUUCCCCAAUGGCACUCUUUUACCAACGUGCAUAUUCAUUCUUCUUGCGCCCUGUUCCGCGCAACCUAUCUCACCGCGUUCGAUAUACGAGCUAUAUACUUUUUCUCAAGGUUCUUCACCCCCUCGCUACAUCUGUUUUCGAACUGGCUACCAUUCUUCCACCUUCUGCCAUCGUACAAACUUCUUGCUCCAUGUACGCAACUUCAUUAUAGGAGCUGCGACUUGAAGCUGAAGACUCGCCCCCGGAGCGAUAAAUAAGCCUGAGGGGUGGAGGACAAACGCGAGAAACGCCGGUAUUGUUUUACUUUUACUGUAUAAUGAUGACCAACCAGGUGAUAUUUUUCACCAAUAGAGUAAACGAUUUUAAGGAGAAUAUAACAUCUCUCUGUCAUGCUAUACUGUCCGAGGGUUUCAGGUUGCAAUAAGUUCUGCCAAAAUAAGAAUUACGGAGGAAUAUUGAUAAUUUGGGAUCGACUAUUCGGUGUUUUGUCUAUUAAAACUGAUUGAAAAAAGCAAAAGUAUGAAAUCUGCUAACAAUCGACGUCGAAGCAUUCGACGAUAUUCAGCGUUAAGGAGUAUUCAUUUAUGGACUAUCAAUCAGAAAAAGUAUAGAACUAAACACAAGAAUAAUUCCAUCAUAGGGAAUAUGCUUUUCAGCUACGUUAUUGGUCUUACGUUAGUUAUGGAGCACUGUGAACUGUACUUGAUAAUGAUAUUAUAAUAAUAUCUAAUAUUAGUGAUAAUAGAGUGACCUCACUCGAAUGGAUCUUCAACACUUCUAGAAGCCAUCGCGUUCAUCACGAUACCAACAGCUACAACUUGGAUAAAACUUAUGGAGAAGUGUUCAUAAUAUGUGAUCGAAUGUUCUCUACAUUUUAGAAGAAAAGAUGUACAAAACAAUAUUAUGUGCAUAAAAAUAUGAUUUGCAUCUUAGCCUUAAAUAUUUCAAUGUAAAACCUAUCAACCUAUCACAAGUAAGAAUAUCAUGUUAUUAUUAUAUCAUAUCUUUUACAUUGCUAAACUAUAUUCGGUGAUAAUAUAAUAUUAUAAAUACUCGAUAAAUAUCGAUCACCUUUAAUGAUACGUUGAUACGAGAUUUCAAAUCCGCGUAUUUGCGCACAUCGAUGUUCCAUAGACACAUGACUCUACACAAACAGAACUUUUUUUUUAAAUAUCGUGAAGUUAUAUAAGCAACGUACGUAGGACGCGUUUAUAGUCUUAACUGUCGACAGUGUGGACGGAACUCCGACAAUGAUAACGUGGAUGGGAAAAUAUAUAGGGGGGAUAUGGAAACUACGUAAAGUUGAAGAUGAUUCAUCUGAAAUGACAAUCUUUUGUAAUACAAAUUGGCUAGUGUUAUUACUAUUCAUUUUCUGUUUUGGGUUAUAUCAUGUUUUCAUAGUUCUUCAACUACAAUUUAUAUAUCUUCUUUUACUUUGUUGGGAGAUAAUCUACGCAAUCUACUUGCUGCUACCAGUUGGCAAUUAUGAAAAGGUAAAUUUGUGAAUGUAAAAACAUUAAAAUCACAUAAUCGAUUUGAUUUAGUAAUCAUGUGUUAGUGCAGUAAAACUUACAUUAAAAAAUAAUUAACAUAAAUUUCUUGUGCACGUGCGUAGUUAUCACACACGCGUACGCGCGUCAACAAAAUUUUUUAAAUUUAUAUAUUUAAAUUUAAUCAUAAUAAAUAUCACCAUCCAUUAAUUAAUUAAUACACACACCACAAUGUGGUAUAAUUUGGUAAUAGAUCAAACAGAUUAUUUUCCGACUAGUUCUUUUCACUUUCCUUGGACCUAAAAUCAAAUUUAGCGAAAUAUUGAAUGUCAAUUUGAAGUGACACUAUGACCUCUAAAAAUUGUUUAUAUUUACAGGUCAUGGUUUUCUUUUACUGUCUAGUGAUUCUAGAACAGAUCUUCUUGGCUUGGAAAAGAGAAAAGAGUAAUAUGAAGGAGACUGUAGUGUCGUUGAACCAUGGUGUAUAUUAUGAGAGUAUCAAAUUUCUGUUUGGAUGUAAAUUGCAAGAAUCUGUAUAUUUAUUUAUUUACGAGAGAACCGGAAAUAUAAUUGUAAGCAAUUAUUUGUUCGGAUGGGAAGGAUCUAUAUGGUUAGGAUGAUUUAUCGGCGUUAUUGCCACGGAUUUCUGUUACUAUUGGAUCCAUCGUUUUAAACACGAAGUUCAAGUGUUAUGGUGCUUUCAUGAAGUGCAUUAUAGUAGUGAGGUGUUCGAUCUUUCGGUCGGUGUGCGGCAAUCUGUUAUGGAACUUUUCUACGAUUUUAUAUUUUACUCUCCUCUUGCCAUCUUUAUACAUCCGUACUACAUUAUAAAAACCCGUGAAUUUAUUUAUUUAUAUCAGUUGUUCAUACAUACAGAAGUAAUAAAGAAAGUUGGAUCUUUCGAGGGAAUUUUUAAUACGCCUAAUUAUCAACGUAUUCAUCACAGCUUCAACAGGGCCUACCUGGACAAGAAUUAUGGAGGUAUAUUUAUAUUAUGGGACCGCAUGUUCGGUACGUUCAAAGAGAAAGGGAGUGGUCCAAUAGAUUAUAGUAUCCCAGAGAGCCCUCAAUGUUACGGUAUACUAUACCAACAAAUAUAUGGCAUCAUAUGUUGGUUUGUGCACAAGAAGAAUCUACUAUUUACAAGAUUUUGGUUUAAAGCUCUUUUUUACGGGCCUAGAUGGAUACCUGACAACAACGUUAUUAACGAGUCAAUACCACGUUUGGGAUACGAGAAAUGCGUAAGAUACUAUAAACACUUAAAGAAAUAAAAUGACAUGCAUAUUAUACAAUGAUGCAUGCAAAUUAUAUAUAUUAUGACUCGGAAAUAUAAAGAACAAAAUAUAAAGCUAGUGUAUAAUUAUAGUUUCUUUAAUCAGUAUGUCAUUUAAAAUAUAUCAUUUUAUCUUACAAAUAAAAAGUAGACAAUCAAAUGAUAAUAAGGACAAAACAUUCAUAAAUUACUGGGAUAUUCAUUAUAUGUGUUGUAUGCAUUUUCUUAUUGUCAUAAGUGGGUUGGAAAUAUACUCGAUAAGUGUAAGUAUUAAAUGCAAUCCAUCUAGUGUUUACUUUAAAGAACGAAAUAACGAAAAAUUUCAACAAUUUAUGCGUUUAAUAAUUAUUUAUGUAGCAUGUUCAAACGCAUAUGUACGUACAUACAUGAAUAUACGUGUUACUCUGUUAUCUAUAAAUUUCCUAAAAAUCGAUUAAGAGUGACAAUCUUAGUUAUUCGAAUUUGAACAUCAUUAAGUGCUUUUAUGAAUAUGCGGUACCGAAGCAAUUUAAUCUCAUAGAAACAAUAUACCAGAUUCGUAGAAAACAGAAAUUAAUAAGAAUCGAGGUUCUGGCGUGACAGUUGAAAUUUGCAUAGUAUUGUAAUGUUCGUUUUGUAUUUAUUUUCAGGAUAUGGAUUUCUUAAGCAUAACACGUGCAUUUGGAAAACUGCACGCAAGUUUAUGCAUUUGCGCUUACUUUCUCGAAAAUUUGAACAAAACAUAUAUUAUAUUGGCGAAUGUUCUACGGUCUUUAUUUUUGUACAAUUAUUAUUACACUUCCCCUGCAUGGUGCAGUUAUAUAUACUAUCUCACGCUUUAUUACGAUGGACUUUAUUGUUUAGUACUAUUUUUUCAUUAUAUGAUUUAUAUGUUACGUCAAAAACUGGAUUAUACAACCCAAUCUAUAAUAUCCAAAACGGAUCCUCUAAAAGAAUAGUAAAACAAAAGUAAAGUAGUGUAAGUACUGCCAGUAAAACUGAUUAAAAGGUUUUCUUUCUCUAUCCUGCAAAUAUAUUUUUAAGUACCGUGUAGAGAGUAUAAUAUAACCGAAACAGUUUGUUUUUUUAGCAGAAGUUUCUAAAUUUGUUUAAUAUAAUACGAAGAGCAUUUGUCUAAUAAGAUAUGUACGAUCAUUUAACUACAGACAUUAUAUUAAUCUCUGUGAUUCCACUUCCACACUUUUAAGCUAUGAUCAUCACAUAUGUAAAAAUAUAUAUGAAUAAAUAAAUAUUUAACAAGAAAAAUAUUUAUUUAUUGAUAUAUAUGUAAAAAUACAUAUGUACAUGUAAAACUAUUCAUGUUAAUAUUGAUGUGAGAGCAUACAUUUCUUACCAACAAUGGCUGCCACGCAGAAAAUAUGCAAAAUAAUUAUAUUAUUCUUUAGCAUACUACUUCCCUCAAUUUUAUAAUAUGACAUAUGUGAGGAAUAUGUAAUUCUAAUUAUAUUCUAUAUCGUAGUAGUGAAUGAUACAAAAUUAUAAAUGCGUAUUGUGCAUAAAAUAUAUAAUAAUAUGUGUAUGUAUCGAAUUUUUAUUGUAAGAACGGUAUAAAUAAAUUAUGUAAAAGUUUUUAUCACGAUUCCGUAUUAAGAUUAUUUUUAUUUAUUCGAUGUAUUUCCCAAAACAAUUUAGUUUGCACACAACAACGUUUUAAUUUGUGAAAAAUGACUUUUAAAAACUUACACGUUAGACACUUUAGAUAAUAAUUUUGUGAUCACGUCUAAUUCCACACGCAAAAUAUAUUACACAAAAUUAUUAAAAAUAGUUGCUAUUAUUGUUUCACGUCCUCUUUUACAGUUACACUUUACUAUCGUUUAUUGUUUUAUAAUAUGCUCUUCGAUAUUGUUGUAGAUUAAGUAAUAAUAAAUACUUGAUCAAUUAUU
This is an RNA transcript of Ooceraea biroi (clonal raider ant), 5478 nucleotides long. RefSeq lists it as uncharacterized. The record is from RefSeq and is a predicted model, not a curated record. Lineage: Eukaryota; Metazoa; Arthropoda; Insecta; Hymenoptera; Formicidae.